Aspergillus wentii DTO 134E9 is the source of this 99-nucleotide transfer RNA. It matches the Rfam family "tRNA". From Rfam's summary of the family: Transfer RNA (tRNA) molecules are approximately 80 nucleotides in length. Their secondary structure includes four short double-helical elements and three loops (D, anti-codon, and T loops). The record is from Rfam. Lineage: Eukaryota; Fungi; Ascomycota; Eurotiomycetes; Eurotiales; Aspergillaceae.
GGCACUAUGGCCGAGUGGUCUAAGGCGAUAGACUUGAAUUAUCACAAUAAUUGAUAUCUAUUCCAUUCGUGGGCGUCGGUUCGAACCCGACUGGUGUCG